Neolamprologus brichardi is the source of this 1028-nucleotide non-coding RNA. The record is from RefSeq and is a predicted model, not a curated record. Lineage: Eukaryota; Metazoa; Chordata; Actinopteri; Cichliformes; Cichlidae.
GAAACAAGAGAAACUGUGUUUGCUGUCCACCAUUUCAUGCAUUUUAGUGUUGUGUGUCAACAGGAAUUAGUACCGAUAACAUCAUUCCUGAGCUGUAGCUCUCUCCGUACAUCCCAUAAUAUACUGAAGAAAAGUGCUGAAACACAUCAAAUCUUCUCUGUUGUAGAUUUUCUAUGAUCUGGUGCGACAGAUCAACAGAAAAACGCCGAUGGAAAAGAAAAAGACAAAAAAGAAGUCAAGUUGCACACUGCUCUAAAUUGCCAUCCCACGAUAGCUCCAGGCCAGAAACUUGUAAUGAUUAACUGUUUCCCAGUGGAUCGUGCCAGCAUUCCAAGUCCUCUCCGAAGCAUUUUGAAAAAGGCUGACAGAGAAAUUUCACCACUCGCAAAAUGGCAGGAGACGGCACAUACUCUCAAGAAACUCUUUCUUUCUGCUCUUUAAUGGCAAAGAUAUCCACCUCUUCUUUUUUUACUGUCAGCCUGAUGACAACUGUUUUGUUUUUGUCCUCUUCUCCAAGUUGUCUUUCUUUUUGGAAAUAUCAAUAUAAAAGAGGAGACCUUGGAUUUAUAUCCAUCUAUGGGAACUAAAAUGUUUUAUUAAAAGUAACAUCAGAUAUUUGAGACAUUGUGACAAUGCGUUCGCAAAAGUAUCCAUGUGAAAUGUUGGUCUUCUUGUACAUUUCUGCACUAACAGUGUCAAUGAAGAUGCGUCAUUGUCCAUAAAUUACUCGCUCCUACUUACAAGGAUGUGUAUUGAUGAAAUAACAUCUUUCCUAAGUGACUUUGUUUUAUAUCGAGAGCUGCAAGCCUUCCAUAUUUCCCAUAAUAUAUUCUACUUCCAUUUUUGCAUAAUAAAGCUAAGGAAAUUAGUAUUUUAUAGACUGAUGGGGGAAAUGGUGCGUUCUGAUUUGUGUCUUGAGGCUGAAAAUAUAUUGUACUAAACCAACUCUAAUAUCGCUUCUUGUGUUACCCUGUCACAGAUGAUUUUCCAGCUUUUAUGAAUGAUUAAAUUUUAGUACAUUUUCAUUA